AUUGAACGCUGGCGGCAGGCCUAACACAUGCAAGUCGAACGAGUGGCGGACGGGUGAGUAAUGUCUGGGAAACUGCCUGAUGGAGGGGGAUAACUACUGGAAACGGUAGCUAAUACCGCAUACCAUCAGAUGUGCCCAGAUGGGAUUAGCUAGUAGGUGGGGUAACGGCUCACCUAGGCGACGCUCCCUAGCUGGUCUGAGAGGAUGACCAGCCACACUGUAACGACGACACGGUCCAGACUCCUACGGGAGGCAGCAGUGGGGAAUAUUGCACAAUGGGCGCAAGCCUGAUGCAGCCAUGCCGAGUGUAUGAAGAAGGCCGUCGGGUUGUAAAGUACUUUCAGCGGGGAGGCGUUACCCGCAGAAGAAGCACCGGCUAACUCCGUGCCAGCAGCCGCGGUAAUUC
This 406-nucleotide ribosomal RNA is filed under the name uncultured bacterium. RNAcentral describes it as "partial 16S ribosomal RNA". It matches the Rfam family "Bacterial small subunit ribosomal RNA", at positions 30 to 526 of the family's 1533-position model. The record is from RNAcentral.